This 251-nucleotide unclassified non-coding RNA is filed under the name uncultured Pleosporales. RNAcentral describes it as "sequence contains 5.8S rRNA gene, ITS2, 28S rRNA gene". The record is from RNAcentral. Lineage: Eukaryota; Fungi; Ascomycota; Dothideomycetes; Pleosporales.
AACGCACAUUGCGCCCUUUGGUAUUCCUUAGGGCAUGCCUGUUCGAGCGUCAUCUAAACCUUCAAGCACUGCUUGGUGUUGGGCGUCUUUGUCCCGCCUUCUGGCGCGGACUCGCCUUAAAAUCAUUGGCGGCCUGUGUAUUGGCUUCGAGCGCAGCAGACUAGCGCCUCGUCCCCUCUAGCAUAGGUGUCCAGCAAGCUUCACCCAUUAAAUUUGACCUCGGAUCAGGUAGGGAUACCCGCUGAACUUAA